This 275-nucleotide ribosomal RNA is filed under the name uncultured bacterium. RNAcentral describes it as "partial 16S ribosomal RNA". It matches the Rfam family "Bacterial small subunit ribosomal RNA", at positions 399 to 691 of the family's 1533-position model. The record is from RNAcentral.
GCGUGAGUGAUGAAGGCCUUAGGGCUGUAAAGCUCUUUUGUCCGGGACGAUAAUGACGGUACCGGAAGAAUAAGCCCCGGCUAACUUCGUGCCAGCAGCCGCGGUAAUACGAAGGGGGCUAGCGUUGCUCGGAAUCACUGGGCGUAAAGGGCGCGUAGGCGGCGACUUAAGUCGGGGGUGAAAGCCUGUGGCUCAACCACAGAAUUGCCUUCGAUACUGGGUUGCUUGAGUGUGGUAGAGGUUGGUGGAACUGCGAGUGUAGAGGUGAAAUUCGU